GCGGGUGUAGCUCAAUUGGAUAGAGCACCGGUCUACGAAACCGGCGGUUGCAGGUUCGAAUCCUGCCAUCCGCG
Molecule: transfer RNA, 74 nt
Filed under: Phycisphaera sp. TMED151
Lineage: Bacteria; Pseudomonadati; Planctomycetota; Phycisphaerae; Phycisphaerales; Phycisphaeraceae
Also listed under: 5 other names
Description: tRNA-Arg
Rfam family: tRNA
About the family: Transfer RNA (tRNA) molecules are approximately 80 nucleotides in length. Their secondary structure includes four short double-helical elements and three loops (D, anti-codon, and T loops).
Source: RNAcentral